UAGGCAGGGUCCGCGUGUUAAUCGGAAUUACUGGGCGUAAAGUGUGCGCAGGUGGCCGCGCAAGUCGAGUGUGAAAUCCCCGGGCUUAACUUGGGAAUUGCGCUCGAAACUACGUGGCUAGAGUGUGGCAGAGGGAGGAGGAAUUCCACGUGUAGCGGUGAAAUGCGUAGAGAUGUGGAGGAACACCAAUGGCGAAGGCAGCCUCCUGGGCCAACACUGACACUCAUGCACGAAAGCGUGGGGAGCAAACAGG
This 253-nucleotide ribosomal RNA is filed under the name uncultured bacterium. RNAcentral describes it as "partial 16S ribosomal RNA". It matches the Rfam family "Bacterial small subunit ribosomal RNA", at positions 524 to 776 of the family's 1533-position model. The record is from RNAcentral.